This is a small nuclear RNA of Rhinopithecus bieti (black snub-nosed monkey), 105 nucleotides long. Lineage: Eukaryota; Metazoa; Chordata; Mammalia; Primates; Cercopithecidae. The record is from Ensembl.
GGCUCGCUUCUGCAGCACAUUACUAAAAUUGGAAUGAUAGGGAGAAGAUUACCAUGGCCCCUGUGCAAGAAUGACUUGCAAAUUCGUGAAGUGUUCCAUAUUUUU